UUACCACUUUGGAGAGUCGUGGUGAAACUUGAGUUUUGUAUCUGUGUGCUUGUUUUGCAUUAAUAUUAAAGUCACAACAGUCAGCAGCAUUAUACGGCCUGGGAGUUUGACUUAGCAGCUGACAAAAUAAGAUGAAAGUGAAAAAAACCAGGAGAGUUGAAACUGUGUGUUUGAUUUGGUGGUGAAAAAAAAGCUCUACAGCGCAGCAUCGCUAUGUUUUGCAUGGUAGUGUUAUAUCGAUUCAGGGCAAGCAAACACCUCAGUCACACAAGUAAAAAUAGGUCAGCAGCCACUCGCCUAGCUUGGGAGUCAAUGCACCUAGUGCUCCGAUUACCACUGGGACCACUGUUACCUUCACCCUCCACAUCCUCUCGAGCUCUUCUCUGAGCCCUUGGUACUUCUCCAGCUUCUUGUGUUCCUUCUUCCUGAUGUUGCUGUCCUCCAUCGAUCACUACAGACGUCUUCUUCUGUUUGUCUACCACCACUAUGUCCGGUUGGUUAGCCACCACCAUUUUUGCCCGUCUGUGUCUGGAAGUCCCACAGGAUCUUAGCUCGGUCAUUCUCCACCACCCUAGGGGGCGUCUCCCAUUUUGACCUCAGGACUUCCAGGUUAUACUCGGCACAGAUGUUCCUGUACACUAUGCCGGCCACUUGGUUAUGGCGUUCCAUGUAUGCCUUGCCUGCUAGCAUCUUUCACCCUGCUGUUAUGUGCUGGAUUGUCUCUGGGGCAUCUUUACACAGCCUGCACCUGGGGUCUUGCCUGGUGUGAUAGACCCCAGCCUCUAUGGAUCUUGUGCUCAGAGCUUGUUCUUGUGUUGUCAUGAUUUGUGCCUCUGUGCUGUCUUUCAGUUCAGCUUUGUCCAGCCACUGGUAGGAUUUCUGGAUGCUCUCCACUUCCUCUAUCUGCUGGUGGUACAUAGCAUGCAGGGGCCUGUCCUUCCAUGAGUGCUCCUCCUCUUGCUCGUGUUUCUGCUGCCUGAGGCAUUCAGUAGAGGAUUCCCAGGUACUUGUAGCUGUCCUCAAUGUCAGCGAUGUUGCCUUUUGGCAGUUCUGACUACUUUCCCUCUCUUCGUUACCAUCCGACUACGCUUCUCCAAUCCAAAUGACAUUCCAAUGUCGUUGCUGUAAAUCCUGGUUGUGUGGAUCAGUGAAUCAAUGUCUCGUUCACUCCUAGCAUACAGCUUGAUGUCAUCCAUGUAGAGGAGGUGGCUCACAAUUCCUCCAUUCCAGUUUCAUUCGGUAUCUAUAGCCAGUCUAUCUACAUAUACAUAUAUAGAGAGGAUAUUGGAUUGACUGCAGUCACUCUCAGAGAGCUCUUUGAAGGUUUGUAAAUAGCUGCUGUCUAAUAUAUAAAUGCAAACAGAUUGCCAACAUGUUGGUAUCAGUCUGAAUGAGUCUUUGUCAAUGACAUCAACUCGAGGAGACGCGACCCAACUUGGCCACCAGCUGGUUGUAUUGUGGUUAUUUUCCUAUAGGUUGCACAUUUCUCGUAAAUGUGAAUUCUCUCUGUUUUCGAUGGUUUUUCACAGUUAUUUACUGUAUUACCAAAAACAGAUUGCAUGUAAUUGCCAACUUGACCCAAUUCAGUCACAGACAGCAGCAGACUCUGACAGCAGACUGACUGUCUUACAGCAGGUUUCAUUGGCAGGUUCCAUAUGUGUGAAAGUCUCAUUUUGCAGCAAAAAAUAACUUUAUCUUAUUGAAUUAAAGUUUUCCUCUGAGGAAAUAAUUUGUGGUUGAAAAGAGGUGAUAACUUUCAUAUAUCAUGUGAUAUCAUUGUGUUGUGAGUUGUGUGGUGAUUCCCACUCAAAGAGAUAUACAAAAAUUCUCCUCCUCAUGUACAUUUCAGUACAAUAUUGUGUUUCCUUUAAAAACUCUUGAAUUAGCUUACAGUACUUCUACACCUUUUUCCCAUCAUUCAGAAAAUUCAAAAUGCACAAAUAUUUUCUACUACUUUUUACCAGAUAUUUC
Astatotilapia calliptera (eastern happy) is the source of this 1971-nucleotide long non-coding RNA. Lineage: Eukaryota; Metazoa; Chordata; Actinopteri; Cichliformes; Cichlidae. The record is from Ensembl.